Gasterosteus aculeatus aculeatus (three-spined stickleback) is the source of this 3073-nucleotide RNA transcript. It is a transcript of the gene named exocyst complex component 3-like 4, with no coding region annotated. NCBI's taxonomy places the organism in Eukaryota, Metazoa, Chordata, Actinopteri, Perciformes, Gasterosteidae. The record is from RefSeq and is a predicted model, not a curated record.
CUGCACGGCUUCACACUGCUUGUGUGAACAGAUUCUCUUGUCCCCAAACCGGCGUCACAAGCCAAGAGGAAGAGAAAGCGAAAGCAGUGCAGGUGAGCUCUUUUUCACCUGAGCUACGCAGGUGGACGAUGAGAUGUCUCAGAAGACGGACAGGAACGCCGACCAGGGCGACGGCGGCGGCGUCCCGCAGGCCAUGCUGCGGGUGUUCAGGGACAGCAUGCGGCGGGCCUCCGGCGGCAAGGGGGCGAAGGUCGCCGCCGGCCAGGACGUGGGGUCGCCGUCUUCCCCGCCGUCACCCGAUCCCAACGUGGUCGGGUUCGGGGACUCGCUCAUGAGAAGGGGGGCGUCCAUACGGCGGAGCCUGAAGUUGGGAUCGAAGAAGGAUAAAGGCUUGCGGCCGGAGGCGCUGGUCUCCAAAGGCCCAGGCGUCGACAAGAUGGAGGAGGAGGAGGAGCAGGAGGAAGAGGAGGCGUAUGAGGAGAUGGAGGAGUCGUACACGCUGCCGGAGAUACCUCACACCCCGCUGUCAGUGAUGCAGAUCAAUAAGCUGAUUGAGAUGGAGGUGCUGGAGGAGGCUCACCUGAACCUGCUGGCCCUGCGGCGGGAGUUCCAGCAGGAGCAGGAGCGCUGCAGCGAGGACUCCCCCAUGGAGCUGGCCAAGAAGGAGAAAGACCUCAACCUCCUCUACGGCGAGCUGAGGAACAAGGUCAACGCCAUCGUGCGCGACUCCAACUCCCUUCCCUCCAGGAACAAGGGGCUGCUGGUCGCCGUGGCUCGCAUCAUCCAGGAGGAGGAGAGGAGGGCGGAGGAGCCCGGCGGGCUGGCGGGCAGCUGGAUGGAGGCGUGGAGGGAGGCGGUGGACGAUGGGGUGCGGGCAAAGGUGGCGGGCGUCCAGCUGGAGCGCACGGAGCAAAACGCCUCCUGGCUGGCCGUUCACCUGGGGCUGCUGGGGAAGGCCGUGACGGAGGACCUGCAGCAGGUGAGGGCGGAGCUGCGGCGCUCGUACCCGCCCAGCUUCCAGGUCUUCGGCGCCUACGUCGGCAGCUACGGCCGAGUCGUGGGGCAGCACGUGGGGAAGCUGGAGCAGCGGGCGACGGAGCUGAAGGACCUGCACGCUCUGCUGGACUGGAUCAUCAACCGCUACCAGAGCGAGAGGAUCAUGGGAAGUCCGUCCCUGCAGCCGGACAUGAGGGACCACACCGCCCAGCUGAAGCUGGAGGACGACUUCCUGCCGCGGCUGAGGGACAAGUUCUGCUGCGCCGUGAAGGAGGACCUGAAGGCCUCAUUUGUGAGGAUCAUCACGAUGGAAGACGAGGACUUCUGGAAGGACGGGAAGCCUCCGGAGAAGGAGGACGACCUCCUCAGCCAUCCGAUGCCCAUGGACAUCUGGACGAAAGUGGAGGGAAUCGUUUCAAACUGUCGACUGAUCGACGACCAGCUGCAGCAGAGAGUGAUCUCGUCCUGCCUCCAGGAGCUGAAGGACUUCCCCAAGAGGCUGGAGGCGGAGUUCAGGCGUCGCUGCGACGCGCUCAGGCCGGCGCGCCUCUGGACCGAGUAUCAGAUAACCUACGUCAACUGCUUCGCUGCUUUACAGUGGAGGAGGAAACAGGAAGGGAGGGAUGUCUGGAGGGAAAAUUCUGAAGAGGGAGUGAAAGCGUUGACUAAUUAUUAUGGCGGGAAUCCGAAGGGUCAGCUGAUAAACCCGUUGGGUCACGAGGCAGCACAUGGGGAGGUACCGGGACGCGUGUCCGCAGGAGGUGGACGCCUUCGGAGCGGAGGCGACGGGGCUGACGGCCCGGCUGCUGCAGGCGCUGGAGGAGCAGUUCAAAGAGGAGGUGGAGCCGUACCUGAGGAGGAUGAUGACCAGGAAGUGGCUCACCAACGACGACGACUUCCAGCGUCUCCACCGCCGGGCGGAGCUUCUGUCGCAGCACUGCGCUCUGAUGAGGCCUCCUCAUGCUCAGGAGUUUGCGAGCCGGCUGCACCUGCACGUGUCGAGGGAAUACGUGGGCCAGCUGAUGAAGAGCAACUACUCGUGCAAGAACCGGAAACACGAGAAGGCGGCGAGCAAGAUUCGCUCGCAGUGGGAACGCGUCAGUGAGCACUUUCAAUGCAUGAAGUCGACCCACGAGUGGCUCUACGACGCCGGAGACGACCUGAGCGACGUCGUCGCGCAGAAGAACGCGGCCGACAUAAAGGACCACCUGCAGCCGCUCGUGGAGCACUACCCCGACUUCAGCCAGAAGCACCUGGUGGCCGUGCUGAACUUCCGAGGCCUGCGGCGAGGCCGCGAGCACCAGCUGAUCCUCCAGCGCCACGCCCAGCUGCAGGAGAAGACGGGCGCCGCAGGCGAGAGGAGCCACGCCUUUUUCUCCAACAUGCCGGUCGCCGUCCAGGCGGGCUGCCUCUCCAACGUGCCCUUCUCCUGCCUCGGCUGAAGACCUGCGGCCGGGGGCCUUUUUUUAAAAGGUGGUUCCACACUUUUGUUUUUGGCAGACAAGCGGUUCGUUUCUCACACGGUUGUGAUUCAGUUAGCGGUUUACCGUCGACCCCUGAAGGUCAGCUGGUUCUCUCAGCGACGAGAGGCUCCGUCUGCUCUCACCGGAAGGAGGUCCAGAAUGUUUGUUUAAAAGACAAAUAUUUCAAGUAUGAGGCUUGAGAUCUGCCGAUUUUGAUAAUGAGGAAAAGAUGUAUAUUGCUGUAUAUUUUAACAUGUUGAGAGGAAUCAGGAGGCGAACUGACUCAUUGAUUUGGUCUUUGGUCUCCUCAAAAACGAUGGCUAACGAUAUGUUUCCACUUAUAAAACGUAGAGGCCGCGCAGGGACGCAGCGCGCUACGCAAUGAGAGGGAGGCGUGACAGAAAACGCAGCGUUGUUUUUGGGGCAGAAAGAAAACUUUUCCCAGACGGAUCCUGAUUAGAGUCCGACCAGUGAAAUGUUGCGAAACUUGAAUGUGCCGUGAAGCUCUGAUGGAAUAAAUGAAAAGCAGGUUUCUGCUGUGGAAUGCUCCUUCUCUGGAAUCUGUGUUGGACCUGAAUCUCAGUGUAAGAUCUCCUAAUAAAAAGUGUACUAAA